UACAGAGGUCCCAAGCGUUGUUCGGAUUCACUGGGCGUAAAGGGUGCGUAGGCGGUCGGGUAAGUCUGAUGUGAAAUCUCACAGCUUAACUGCGAAACUGCAUUGGAUACUAUCCGGCUCGAGGAAUGGAGGGGAGACUGGAAUACUUGGUGUAGCAGUGAAAUGCGUAGAUAUCAAGUGGAACACCAGUGGCGAAGGCGAGUCUCUGGACAUUUCCUGACGCUGAGGCACGAAAGCCAGGGGAGCAAACGGG
RNAcentral lists this ribosomal RNA (253 nucleotides) under uncultured bacterium. RNAcentral's name for it is "partial 16S ribosomal RNA". It matches the Rfam family "Bacterial small subunit ribosomal RNA", at positions 524 to 776 of the family's 1533-position model. The record is from RNAcentral.